Molecule: non-coding RNA, 96 nt
Filed under: Rhodococcus sp. (in: high G+C Gram-positive bacteria)
Lineage: Bacteria; Bacillati; Actinomycetota; Actinomycetes; Mycobacteriales; Nocardiaceae
Description: Rhodococcus sp. Glycine sequence
Rfam family: Glycine riboswitch aptamer
About the family: This family represents the bacterial glycine riboswitch. Glycine riboswitches usually consist of two metabolite-binding aptamers domains with similar structures in tandem. The aptamers cooperatively bind glycine to regulate the expression of downstream genes.
Source: RNAcentral
CGCCGCCGCAUGGGAGAGUUCCGGAGCACAAUCCGGACGCCGAAGGAGCAAUACCUCCCCGUCAAUCUCUCAGGCACCGAGGACCGUGCGGGCUAC